AAUUUUUAUGGAAAGUUUGAUCCUGGCUCAGGAUGAACGCUGGCGGCGUGCCUAAUACAUGCAAGUCG
RNAcentral lists this ribosomal RNA (68 nucleotides) under Staphylococcus aureus. Its description in RNAcentral is "partial 16S ribosomal RNA". It matches the Rfam family "Bacterial small subunit ribosomal RNA", at positions 1 to 64 of the family's 1533-position model. The record is from RNAcentral. Lineage: Bacteria; Bacillati; Bacillota; Bacilli; Caryophanales; Staphylococcaceae.